UGUCUGUUUGUUUGUUUUGAGACAGGGUCUCACUUUGUUGUACAGGCUGGAGUGUAGUGGCAUAAUCUUGGCUCACUGCAACCUUCACCUCCUAGGUCCAAAUGAUUCUCAUGCCUCAGCUUCCCGAAUAGCUGGGAUUGCAGGCCUGUGCCACCACACCCAGCUAAUUUUUGUAUUUUUAGUAGAGAUGGGGUUUCACCAUGUUGGCCAGGCUGGUCUCAAACUCCUGGCCUCAAGCGGUCUACCCACCUCAGCCUCCCAAAGUGCUAGGAUUACAAGUGUGAGCCACGAGAUCUGGCCUAGCAUUGAAUAGUCCUAAAAACAUUUCAUAAGGCUAGUAUUACCUUUAUAUAAAAACCAGAUGAAGAUUUUAAGAUUUGUAAAACUUGUGGACUGUAGAUAACUUUCUGUGUGUGUGUGUGUGUGCAUGUGCGUGUGCGUGUGUGUGUGUCUGUGUUUCUACAGAGUUAGGGCUUAAUGAACAAAUUUUUCUGUAAAUUGGGAUCCUGGGCUAAAAGUAACCCUUAUGUAAUUAAUUUACAACUGGAUAUAUAAUGAGACAAUUGUAUAGAUAGAAAGAUCAACUUAAUUCUGGAGAUGUGCUAUUACAUUUUAAGAAAAAAAUGAAGCUCAGGACCUUGAAACACCUUCCAGGUUGUAAAAUCCAAAAAGACAGCAAGUUGGGGAUGGGGUAGGGCUUAUUCUGGCCCUUGGAAAGAUGUAUUUAUAUUUCAAAAGGUUCGAGUGAGAACCCAAGAUCUAUUGCAUCUUCAGGAAGCAAAAGUUCUCCCUCUUUUUAUAAGGGAAACAAAGGCAGCUGUUUUUUUCUCCAUAAGAUAUAUGUAUAUUUAAAAAGAAAGAAAAUCAAUUUUCUUCUGUUUUGCUAAGAUACAGACUUAAUAUGCAUAGCAGAUUUUACCUGGAUUUCAACCAGUUGGUUCUGAGAUAAGAAUUUGUUGCUGGUAGUUAGGCACUAGCGGUAAAGGAGAGGGCUAUCCCCCACCCACUAGGAAUGUCAGCUGAUGUUUCAUCAACUAUCACAUUGCUUCUCUAAAAGUGAUAAAUUGGCAGCCAGGCAGAGGCCAUUUAAUGAUGGUCCACACCUGUUGCAUUGAAGUUUUAAUUGAAUUUUGGUGCCAGGGAGAAGAAAAAAGGGGCUUCCAAUAAAAUCUUGGGAAUUGGUCGGUUGAGCCCUGGCAUGCGUAUUAAAAGGCAAAAUGGUGGAGUAUGAUCUUCUGGAGGUGCUCCACUGGAAAAAGGGAAGAAAGUCUCAGAUGUGCAUGCCUACGACUUCCCAAAAUUACUGCUGUGCUCACUUCCCAAGGUUAAGGAGGGCACUGUGCAUUCAGGCAGCCCACACUAAGGGAAGAAUCAUGGGAAAGAGGCCAGCCUAUAAAGUCCUAGGAUCAAGGUUAAACACCACAUUUGUUCUACAGGUUUCCUGCUUGGGUCACUCCCAAGCAUACCUUAUUUGUUUUCCUGUUCUAAAGCUUUUUAAAAUAAUCUUCCAUGCCUUCUCUGAAACUUGCCUCUGUCUCUUUUUCUGCCUCAUGCCCAUCAGUUGAAUUCUAUCUUCUGAGGAGGCAUGAAUUGAGGUUGCUGCAGACCCAUUGGAAUUCACUGUCAGUACUUGGACACCUUCUACUGGAAGCGAGUUGGAAUGUGGGAAGCCAGACGCAGGAUGACUGUGGUCAGAAAUUAUUCUUCGUGACCAAAUUGGCUGAAAACUGGUUCUACUAUUUCUCUAAGUGGCAGCAUUCAUUUCUAUAACUUUAAAAAUUGUUUGUCUGCUAAAGAUCAACUAUUUUGUAUUUUUACACUUGGAUUCACCUCAAUAACAUAUAAUACCAACUGUAAACAAAAGUGGGUAUUGUGGAUUCAAAUGGUGUUAUGAAUCUUAUAUAUCAUCUCCAAGAACCCAUUUCCACUCCUGUUGGAUCUACACUCAUUGCAACUUCUCUCCUCUUACUAACAAUUUUGAAGCAAAUUUCAAAUAUUAUUGUAUUUCAUUAGUAAAGAUUUUAGCAGCCUAUCUUAGCAAUAAAACAUUUUUAAAAACUCACAA
This is a long non-coding RNA of Callithrix jacchus (white-tufted-ear marmoset), 2065 nucleotides long. RefSeq lists it as uncharacterized. Lineage: Eukaryota; Metazoa; Chordata; Mammalia; Primates; Cebidae. The record is from RefSeq and is a predicted model, not a curated record.